UUGGAGGGCAAGUCUGGUGCCAGCAGCCGCGGUAAUUCCAGCUCCAAUAGCGUAUAUUAAAGUUGUUGCAGUUAAAAAGCUCGUAGUUGAAUUUCGGGGUUAGUAGGUUGGUCAUGCCUCUGGUAUGUACUGGUCUCACUGAUUCCUCCUUCCUUAUGAACCGUAAUGCCAUUAAUUUGGUGUUGCGGGGAAUUUGGACUGUUACUUUGAAAAAAUUAGAGUGUUUAAGGCAAGCUAACGCUUGAAUACAUUAGCAUGGAAUAAUGAAAUAGGACGUUCGAUCUUAUUUUGUUGGUUUCUAGGAUUGACGUAAUGAUUAAUAGGGAUAGUUGGGGGCAUUAGUAUUCAAUUGUCAGAGGUGAAAUUCUUGGAUUUAUUGAAGACUAACUACUGCGAAAGCAUUUGCCAAGGAUGUUUUCAUUAAUCAAGAACGAAAGUUAGGGGAUCGAAGACGAUCAGAUACCGUCGUAGUCUUAACCAUAAACUAUGCCGACUAGGGAUCGGAUGAUGUUAAUUUUUUAAAGACUCAUUCGGCGCCUUACGGGAAAC
This 549-nucleotide ribosomal RNA is filed under the name uncultured Glomus. RNAcentral's name for it is "SSU rRNA". It matches the Rfam family "Eukaryotic small subunit ribosomal RNA", at positions 548 to 1098 of the family's 1831-position model. Lineage: Eukaryota; Fungi; Glomeromycota; Glomeromycetes; Glomerales; Glomeraceae. The record is from RNAcentral.